This 253-nucleotide ribosomal RNA is filed under the name uncultured bacterium. RNAcentral's name for it is "partial 16S ribosomal RNA". It matches the Rfam family "Bacterial small subunit ribosomal RNA", at positions 524 to 776 of the family's 1533-position model. The record is from RNAcentral.
UACGUAGGGUGCAAGCGUUAAUCGGAAUUACUGGGCGUAAAGGGUGUGUAGGCGGUUUUUUAAGUCUGAUGUGAAAUCCCCGGGCUCAACCUGGGAACUGCGUUGGAUACUGGAGAACUAGAGUACGUAAGAGGGGGGUGGAAUUCCACGUGUAGCAGUGAAAUGCGUAGAUAUCAAGUGGAACACCAGUGGCGAAGGCGAGUCCCUGGACAACUCCUGACACUGAGGCACGAAAGCUAGGGGAGCAAACAGG